This 253-nucleotide ribosomal RNA is filed under the name uncultured bacterium. Its description in RNAcentral is "partial 16S ribosomal RNA". It matches the Rfam family "Bacterial small subunit ribosomal RNA", at positions 524 to 776 of the family's 1533-position model. The record is from RNAcentral.
UACGUAGGGUGCGAGCGUUGUCCGGAAUUAUUGGGCGUAAAGAGCUUGUAGGCGGUUUGUCGCGUCUGCCGUGAAAAUUCGAGGCUCAACCUCGAACUUGCGGUGGGUACGGGCAGACUAGAGUGUGGUAGGGGAGACUGGAAUUCCUGGUGUAGCGGUGAAAUGCGCAGAUAUCAGGAGGAACACCGAUAGCGAAGGCAGGUCUCUGGGCCACUACUGACGCUGAGAAGCGAAAGCAUGGGGAGCGAACAGG